This 323-nucleotide small RNA is filed under the name Oryza sativa Japonica Group (Japanese rice). Its description in RNAcentral is "sRNA OsbHLH117". The record is from RNAcentral. Lineage: Eukaryota; Viridiplantae; Streptophyta; Magnoliopsida; Poales; Poaceae.
ACGACGACAUGGAAGCCAUGAAGGCGCAUGGCGGCAUGCAUGCAAAGCAACUGUUGCAAUGUGUUGUCCAAUGUGAGACCAUCAUAUGAUAGAUUCAUCAUUGUUAGGCAUGGUGAUUAACUAGCUACGAUCAUAUCGAUGGAAUCAUCAUGCAUGCCAUGGACCCUAUUAGCUAGCUUUUUUUUUUUCUCUUCUCCUUUUUCUUCUUCUUCUCCUUGUCGUCAUAAUUUAGUUCUGAUCAGUUUGAUGAUCAUGUAUGCAUUGCAUGUCCAGCCUACGUGCUUUAUUUCCGAGCUAGAGAUCGAUUAUAUAUCAUCUAUCAA